Molecule: ribosomal RNA, 269 nt
Filed under: uncultured prokaryote
Description: partial 16S ribosomal RNA
Rfam family: Bacterial small subunit ribosomal RNA
Source: RNAcentral
UACGAACGGUCCAAGCGUUGUUCGGUGUCAUUGGGCUUAAAGCGUGCGUAGGCGGAGGCGUUAGUGUCUUGUGAAAUCCCACGGCUCAACCGUGGAACUGCAGGGCAUACUGCGUCUCUUGAGACCAGCAGAGGCGGCCGGAACUGUAGGUGUAGCGGUGAAAUGCGUAGAUAUCUACAGGAACGCCGAAGGUGAAGACAGGCCGCUGGGCUGGUUCUGACGCUCAGGCACGAAAGCGUGGGGAGCGAACAGGAUUAGAUACCCGAGUA